This is a long non-coding RNA of Bos taurus (domestic cattle), 2709 nucleotides long. The record is from Ensembl. Lineage: Eukaryota; Metazoa; Chordata; Mammalia; Artiodactyla; Bovidae.
ACUCCCCCUCCACUGCUUCUCUCCCCUGCCCCUGAGCCAGGCAGGAGCAUCCCCAUGUGCCCACACCUGGGUGGUCUUGGCGUAUGCCCUCCCACUGCUCCUGUCCUGCUGCAGUCUCCUUCCUCACCCAAGGUGAAUUUCUCAAUCUGCAUGCUCAAGGGUCUCCCUGACUCCACUCUUAGCACCCCCUCCACCCAGUAGAGGAGGAGCAUUCUAAAACGUACAUCGGAGCAUGGUGCUCCCUUGCUCAAAAGCCUUCACCGGCUCCCUUACUAAUCUGGGAAAUUUCCAACAAGGAUCAUCUGAAGCUCAGCCUCUGGGGUCUUGCGGAGCUGGUUUCCUGCCUUCCUCUCGUGCCCUCCUGCUUCCCUCCACCAAUCAAAAUUGUCUGGCUGGGGUCCCUCCUGUGGGUUCCCACAGCACUCUGGGCUUCUUCCAUCACAACCAGAAUGAAAACCGCUGCUGUGACUCCUGAGCUGAGUUCUCCAAGGAAGGGUCUGAUUCUCCACUAAAGGCCAACACCGGACACCCAGUAGGUUCUGAAUAAACAUGUAUUGAUGACUGAAUGAAAGAAGCCUGCUAUCUCCCUUUAUAGAUAUGAAAACUGAGGCUCAGAGUAAUAACUUGCUCAAGAUCACACUGUUUGUGCAAGACAAAACCAGGAUUUGAACCCAGCCAUUCUCUGAGGAUCUCCUGCUGGGGGAGCCGAGGAUUCAUUGCCAAAAGGCACAGCCUCAGGUAGAUGCUCCAGUGAGGAAGACAGCAAGACAAACAAGCACGGCAGUGCAGAGGCCGACCUCAGGCUCCGUGCCCCAUCCCAGACUGCAUCACCUGACACUAGAUUCACACCUGGGUGUGUCUGGACCAGUACCUUGUCAAGGCCAAGGACGGGGAGGGCAAUCUCGCUCCUGUUGUAGACACAGAGCCCAACCCGGCACCAGGAAGCACUCCAUUAAUAUUCACAAAAGGACCGAAGAAUGAAAAAAUGUCUUGGAGCUUAAAAGAAAGGGUGCCCAUACACAAGGCCAUGGCAUGGCAGGGGUGGGGUGGGGGAGCAGGAAGGAGCCCACACAAUUAAUACACAAUUUGCCCACUUGAAGGAUGGAGAAACUGAGACUGAAAGAGGCUAGGGGAUGUGCCCAAGGACCUCAAAGCUACAAGAAUGGCGCAGGACCCGCAGCUCCCCAGAUACAAGAUAGGCUGGUACAUAUAAAUUCCAGGUACAGCUGCUUCAAGCAUCAGAGGGGUAAUGUUUGCAGGUCUGAGACUCCUCAAAACGCUGAGUACAGGUGAGGGUGCAGUAUCCCAUCUUCUCUCCAAAGCCUCAAAACAGCUCUGGGUGGCAGAUAGACCCUCAUACCACAGACAGAAAAACCGGGGCUCUGGGAGAGGGUGUAGGAUUCCCCAACCCCAGGCCCUUCUUGGUCAGUACCUCAGUGGGACUCUCCUGCUGACUGGCGGUUCCACCUCCAUCCCCUCUGAAAUUCACCAGCACGGGGUGCAGACCUGGGCCCGGGCCUGAAUCUGCCUCUGCCGACUGGGUGACUCGGGCAGGGACCAGCCCUCUUUGAGCCUCAGCUUUCCCAAGAGCCAUCUCCUCUGCCCCACGCAGCUGCUUCAAGGAGCAGAGGAAAGAGCAUGCAUGGACGAUCAGUCACUUCAGUCGUCUCCGACUCUUUGCGAUCCUGUGAACUGUACCUGCCAGGCUCCUCUGUCCAUGGGAUUCUCCAGGAGCCAGUUGUCCCUGCUGUUUUCCUGAUCCUCUCCCACCAGUGGCCUCCAUCCACAUCUGGGCCUGAGCCUGGGCUUUGCAGCCAGCAUCAUGUAUCCUGAGCUAAGCUGGCUUGGCAGACCAGAACAUAUCCCAGAUCACAGAGGCCAACUGCCUCCCGUGGCCAGCAAGGGUGGACUCCGUCUGCCACACAACAACGAUGACGACAACAAUAAUAAUCACAAGUGCGCCCAGCAUUUCCUGAGCACAUACCAGGCCCCAGGCCUUGGGCAAAGUCCUGCACUGUCUCAGCCUUCUCAGAACCACGUCCACUUUACAGAUGGGGAAACCAAGCCCAGUGAGGUCAAGGCCAUUUCCCCAUCUCACUUGGGAUCCCCAGCUCAUCACCAUCACACACUUCGGUUGGAGGUGGGACCCUCGGUCAGCACCCUGCCCUGGCUCCAUCCUUUCCUGACUGGGUCCUCUGUACACCGACCCUACCUAAUGGGGGGUUUCAGGCAACACAGAAUGGGCCCCCACUCCCUGAUCGAUCCCCUGAUGUCUGGCACAGAGCAGAGCCCAUGAACAAAGCGUGAGGAUGCUGCUCCCUAUGUCACCCCUGCUGGCUCCGCUGCCCUCCCGCUCCGCUCCUCGAGCAGCUCUGUGUGGGGCUGCUCACAGGGCUGCUGGGCUGCCAACAGCAGAAGGGCCAGGCUGCCGCCUCAUACCAGUGCUGGGCCCGAGGCUUCAUUCUCUGGCUGUGUGACUAUGGGCCCAUUACCAAACCUCUCUGUGCCUCGGCCGCUUUAUCUGAAUCACACCUGACUCCACCGCCUGCCUCAUCCCUCAUCUCCAAUCCAUCCUGUCACCUGCCCAGGCCACAUACCUGAGUGUUCAAGUCACUGAUGGCCCUUGUCUGGAAGGGAGCACUGGCUCCUAGCAACUCCAGGUGUCCCCUGGGUGCCUCCCCUAAACCCUUGGCUCAGAUGCCAGAGAGC